UACGGAGGGUGCAAGCGUUAUCCGGAAUCACUGGGUUUAAAGGGUGCGUAGGCGGCUUGAUCAGUCAGAGGUGAAAGCCCACGGCUCAACUGUGGAACUGCCUUUGAUACUGUCAGGCUUGAAUUGGGUUGAGGCAGGCGGAAUGUGGCAUGUAGCGGUGAAAUGCUUAGAUAUGCCAUAGAACACCGAUUGCGAAGGCAGCCUGCCAAGCCUUGAUUGACGCUGAGGCACGAAAGCGUGGGGAGCGAACAGG
RNAcentral lists this ribosomal RNA (253 nucleotides) under uncultured bacterium. RNAcentral describes it as "partial 16S ribosomal RNA". It matches the Rfam family "Bacterial small subunit ribosomal RNA", at positions 524 to 776 of the family's 1533-position model. The record is from RNAcentral.